Molecule: ribosomal RNA, 394 nt
Filed under: Staphylococcus aureus
Lineage: Bacteria; Bacillati; Bacillota; Bacilli; Caryophanales; Staphylococcaceae
Description: bacterial SSU rRNA
Rfam family: Bacterial small subunit ribosomal RNA
Source: RNAcentral
UUUAUGGAGAGUUUGAUCCUGGCUCAGGAUGAACGCUGGCGGCGUGCCUAAUACAUGCAAGUCGAGCGAACGGACGAGAAGCUUGCUUCUCUGAUGUUAGCGGCGGACGGGUGAGUAACACGUGGAUAACCUACCUAUAAGACUGGGAUAACUUCGGGAAACCGGAGCUAAUACCGGAUAAUAUUUUGAACCGCAUGGUUCAAAAGUGAAAGACGGUCUUGCUGUCACUUAUAGAUGGAUCCGCGCUGCAUUAGCUAGUUGGUAAGGUAACGGCUUACCAAGGCAACGAUGCAUAGCCGACCUGAGAGGGUGAUCGGCCACACUGGAACUGAGACACGGUCCAGACUCCUACGGGAGGCAGCAGUAGGGAAUCUUCCGCAAUGGGCGAAAGCCU